GAACGCACCUUGCGCCCCUUGGCUAUUCCGAGGGGCAUGCCUGUUUGAGUAUCAUGAACACCUCAACUCCAACGGUUCACCCGUGACGAGCUUGGACUUCUGGAGGUUUUGCUGGCCUGCGGUCGGCUCCUCUCAAAUGGAUCAGCUUACCAGUGUUUGGUGGCGCCAUGGGUGUGAUAACUAUCUAUGCCUGCGGCCGUCUGCCAGGAGACCUUCAGCGAUGAGGGUUUGCUGGGGCUUACAAAUGUCUCUCCUCAGCGAAGACAGCUUUUGAACGUUCGAUCUCAAAUCAGGUAGGACUACCCGCUGAACUUAAG
This 317-nucleotide unclassified non-coding RNA is filed under the name uncultured fungus. RNAcentral's name for it is "sequence contains 5.8S rRNA gene". The record is from RNAcentral. Lineage: Eukaryota; Fungi.